Molecule: non-coding RNA, 21 nt
Organism: Caenorhabditis elegans
Lineage: Eukaryota; Metazoa; Nematoda; Chromadorea; Rhabditida; Rhabditidae
Source: Ensembl
UUCCGCAAUCAAAUACGGUUU